CUGUUUAUAUGUUCCCUUCAAGCACAUAAACGAAGGUGGCCUUCAGAUCAUGAGCAGAUCAUUUCUGUGCAGGACUGUUGACUCUUUCUUCUCUUGUUCAUGAAGAAUCCUCUGGAGUGGUCCCUUGUUUGAGGGAGAAAAGCAAGCAUAUCAUACUCGGAAGAAAACAACUCCCGGCUGAAACUAAGAAAACCUUGUUUUAAGACCUAGUGUGAACUGUGAGGCAGAUGAGCUGAAUAUCCUCCAGAGAAAUCUGCGCAAUCCCGUGUACUCAGGUUAUCCCCGUUGUUAAAACUGACCACUGCAUGGCACUGUUGCACCAGUGUCGCUGCAGCAUCAGGCGAGAGUGCAGGAAAGCAUCUCUAGUUCUUCCACUCGGUGUCUACAGCCCCCUGCUGUAUGAACAGCUCAGAACAGGGCACGUACUGCAAUGUGGGAGCAGGUCCUACCUCUUCCCAUCCUCUUUUCCUCCACCCAAAACCUGGUAAGAGCAUCGUGUUCGACGUGAUGGGAUUUGAAAACUUGGAUAAGAAGUACUUCACAGACUGUCCUUGAAGCUUGCCAUCACAUGGAUGUGCCACAACUCAUUCUUCUGGGCCGGGGCUAGUGUGUGUGAUUAUCCUUUCACAUACACACAUGUCCUUCCCCUGAAGAGAAUGCCUUGACAAAAACAAAGACUGAAGCUAUAAAACUAAUGUGCAACAUCUGGAUGACUGAAUUGUUCCAGUUAAUGAGAUUCAGAGUUUCAUCACAAAUAAAAAGGAAUACUUUUAAAAUAAAUGUCAGAUUUGUUGACUUCAGGGGAUUCACUUCUCAUCACAUAGAGCUGUAAUGGCUCCAGAUCUCUUGAAAGGACCCCUGAUCUGGUCUGACAGAAGCAAAAGGAGAGCAGAGAGCCUUUUGCUGCUGGAGAUACCCCAUGUUCUAUCUCUGGCAUAUCUGUUGUCCCUGAACUUCUGUAUACGUUGUUGUCCACAUCUACAAAAGAUUCUGUAAAUGCAGGGGUCUUUCUGCUGCAGACACACUGCAUUUGUGCUAAUUGCUAGACGGUCUACCAACCUUUCUAAGCUCUUUGUGACAAGCUUAAUGAUUAUAAAAAAGGAAUUGUCUGUUAUGGGUAAGACCAUAAGGGAGAAAAGACUCAGUAGAUAACUCUACAAGGCCUAUUUACAGCACUACUCAGACUGUCUGCUAGAAAUGCUAUGACAGCAUCUUCAAUCAAGUAGUCUGGUGAGCAAUCCAGAACACUCUUUAUUCAGGGAUGGCACGUCUCCAUACUGAAUAAAUAAGACAGUUCAGUUGACACAGAUAGGCCCUGUGAUUAAUUUCCAUGGACCCUACAUGGAGUCAAUAUUUGGUACCCAGGCAGUAGCUGUUCAAAUUGCAUAUCUGUCUCUUAAAUCAAGACUGAACCAGCUUUCAGCAACUAUCAUAGGUACUCUGAAUGUACCCUUACACACAGAGAGAAAGCACAUAAAUUUGAACCCACUGGGACUUUGUGUUCAAAACUACCUGUAUUUUAUGACACAUGCUUCCUAAAAAUCCGGACUAGUCAGAUGUUUGCAAGUCGCUGAAAGAAAAUAAACUAACCUGUCGAUUUAAACAUAUUAGUAGCUUCUGUCAACGCUAGCACACUGUGAGUCAGUCAUGGAGAUGAGAGACAUACAAAAUAGAUAGGAAAAUUGGAUGUUAUCCUGCACACUGCUGGGUACAAUCACUAAUAUUUUCUUAACGAAAAAUACCUUUCUCCUCUCUUCGGCAGCCUCCAGCUUUUUCUGGAUCUCCUCAAGGGAGAGCUCUUUCUUCUUUGGAGAGGCUAAAGUUCGUGGUGCUUCCGAGACUGGGGAUGGUGGCUUUAGGAUCAGUUCAAAAGCCUGGCCCGAGGCACGUUUGUUGAUUUGUUUAACUUCCAUGUCUGCACAAUAAAGUGAGAAGUGGUAAGCACUUCAAUACUGUGGUGGUGUUAAGGAGAGAAGCAGUACAAAAAUUAGUGUAGGAUCAGAAAUACAGACAAAUGAUUUAGCAUCUUUGCUGUGGGCAUUUCAAAGAAAAUGGCAGAUUAUGGGCUGAAAAUUGUCCUUGGGAGAAGUACAUCCCAUUUUACCUGCAAUAGUUUAUUUAUACACGAACCCUAUGAAGAUAAAAAUUUACAGCAGUUUUGGAAGCUUACUGGGGUUCUGUGUCAUUUCACACUUCCAGCAAGCUCUGCCCAAACGGAUUAAAUUUUAAGCAUGCUUUCAUCUUUUCUGGGUUUCUUUGGGAACUAUGAUGUCAGCUGCGAAGACGUAAUUCUCACAUGGGAAGCACUUCUUCCCAUGUACUAGGAAAAAUACAGCACCAUAUGAAAGAUACAGCUUUAGGAGUUUAGCCAGUUGCUAUUAGAAAAAAUAUCAAGCAUCAUGAGUAAUAAUACACAGUCAAUGAGGCAAUAGCCCAAAUCAGCAAAAGAAGUGGUUAAAUAAGCAAAAUAUUCUCUGUCUAACAUUAGGUACCAGGAUGGUGAACUGAGUCACGUCCCAACAUUAGCACUUUAUCUGACCUGCAGGUGAAAGUUACUCACCAUCAUAUUUAUAGAUGUUCAUGUUGCGAGGUUCAGGAUAAAAACAGGAGCAGAUCAGAGAGAGCAUGGACAGCUCCUUCAUCUUUUCCUUGUAAGCUGAAACAAGAGAACUUGUUAGCAAACUCCCCUUCUUCAGCUUCUCCUUAGUGAAUCUCUAACCGCGAUGACUGACCAUGGACCAGCAAAUCUGCUUCAUAACCCACCUGGCAGAUUUAUCCAGAAUAUUUAUUUUGUUUCUUCUGAACAUGGAGUCUUUAUCACAUCAAAUAUGAGAUGUUCAGUACUGAAUAAACUGCUUCUGUUGUCAUGCAUGACCUCAGCCUUGGCUCAAAUGCAUGCAGUCCUCUUUCAGUAAAAGAAAGUGAAUCUAGCUACCAGGAAAUGUAUUUAGCAUUGGAAGAGUGCCAUGACCCCACUAUCUCCUGGCAGGUGGAAAUAAAUGAAGCUCUUACAAAUUUCUAUGACGUCUCCAAAUGCAAUUGGGAACAGCUCUGAAACAUUGCCCAUGUGUUGCCAUAGGCAGAUGCUAAACUCAUUAUCUGCAACAAAUGAAAAUGUCAUCCAGAUAAUUAAAAAUAUAGCCAGAAAUGAGGAUCCAUUUAUAAAAUCCUUAGCAUAAUGUCCUUAAUAUGAGAAAGUACUUGAAACAAAGAAGUAUUUCCCUGUUCAAUUCCUGUACUGUCACUUUGCUUCCAUAUUCAGGCCUACUGAAUAUCAGCUGAUGCAAUAAACACACUUCCAAUUUAC
Tympanuchus pallidicinctus (lesser prairie-chicken) is the source of this 3307-nucleotide long non-coding RNA. RefSeq lists it as uncharacterized. NCBI's taxonomy places the organism in Eukaryota, Metazoa, Chordata, Aves, Galliformes, Phasianidae. The transcript has 3 exons. The record is from RefSeq and is a predicted model, not a curated record.